GGAACAACUUGUUUUCUAACACUGGUCUUAGCACGAUAGCAAAUGUGCUUACGCCGAGGCGACGCGUGCUGGCUCAACAGUAUUACGAAGCGAGGCUGUCCUUCAACGUCUCCGCGGUUUCAGGAUCAAAUUGGCUGCCACAUGUAUGUGAGAUCCGUGUGACAACACAUAGGGGGGUGCUUCUUCUUUCAGAUCUUUUUAUAUACUGCAUACAGUGAACACGAGAAACCAAGACCGACUCGCCACAGAGCUUUUGGAUAUUUACAUUCUCUGACACUCUGACAGUGGACAAUAUGACCGUGUGACUCAGCGGAUGGGCCGAGCCGAGGUGUGUUUCUUGGAAAGCUAGCCUAAAGAUGAUGAGAUGAGCGCCGUUCCCAUGGUGAUGACGCAGCAGGAAUUUGUUGUUGCAUCAGAAAGUUGAUGGAGGCAACGAUCUGAAGCAAACCACUUCUCACAGGUUUGUGCCUGCCAUAUUGGCUCACACUGCACAAGUACAAGUGUUGAAGUCACCUUAACCACACUAGUUAUCAUUUUUUUCAUUAUGAUUGGGCCUGAAUGGAUGCCAAACCACCUUCCAUGAAAACAUUUCAUCUCUUUCCCGAGAUGGGCUUGUGCAACAAACAACCAUCUGGCCUAAUAUGCAAAAAAGAUAUUGUCAUCACCCCUGCUUUGAAUUCACACCACCCGCCUCCAGAUCAUUUUGGGCCUGUCUCGCAAACAUCAGGUCAUACAAGGAACGUCGCACCUUCACUCCAUCUUCAUCCUCAUCCCAAACACGUCUCGAUACCCAGCUGGCUCCGGCACUUGUUCUGUGCGCACACUGCCAGCCUCUGACGCAUGAAUAUUACUGACAUCAUCUUCUUUUUUUUCUCCACAAACAACCAUAUUUGGAAUAUGCCUCCGUUUCACGGACAAACAGGUUGUGAAAAAUUGGGAGCACUUGCAUAAUCCAAUAAAAUCUGCAUUUACAAAGAGAAUGUGUUUCAACAA
Molecule: long non-coding RNA, 993 nt
Organism: Syngnathus typhle (broad-nosed pipefish)
Lineage: Eukaryota; Metazoa; Chordata; Actinopteri; Syngnathiformes; Syngnathidae
Exons: 5
Source: RefSeq, a predicted model, not a curated record